This 825-nucleotide long non-coding RNA is filed under the name Androctonus crassicauda. The record is from RNAcentral. Lineage: Eukaryota; Metazoa; Arthropoda; Arachnida; Scorpiones; Buthidae.
UUGUUAUAUAUAUACUGUAUAAAAAAUAACUGCAUAUAUUAUAAUAUGCAGGAAAAAUGCACGAUCUCUGAAUCCUUGUUUAAUCGGUAUAUUCUUUUUAUUAAUUUUUUUUCACAACUCAGUUUAAAAAAUUAUAACAUUCCACAUCUCGAACAAUUGAGUUUCUUUCAAUUUUUACCACGAAUCCAGCACGAAAACAAGUCAGUACAUCAAAGUACAUGGACAGAAGCGUGGUGUGAGCCUUUAAGGCAUUUUUCCUAACACAACUCUAGUCCAGUGUGAUAGAAGCGGCCAAACAGGAAAUUUUCUUUCUGAAGUCGUUGCUUAACUUCGGAUAUUUGUCCCAAGUUUGAUCACUGCUGUUGUACUUAUCUAUUUGCGCACCUUGUAACGCGGAAUUCGGAUACUGUGCUACCAUCUAGCGAGUACUCUAUAAUGUUUAUCCAUCUGUUCUGCUUUAUAUCACAAAUAUUAGCGUUUAAAUGACACUGAUAUACGAAACAGUAGUAAUUUAUGACGGAGAAAACGUUUAUACUGCUAUUUAAGAAACCAUUCUGCGAAUUUUUUUUUUAUACUAGUAUGAUUUUAUACUACAAGAUGGCGCUUAUAAUGCUUAUAAUAACAAAACGAGCAUAAAUUAUAAAAUCAAUUUUGGACAUAAACUAGAAGUGAAUCACCUGUUAAAAUUUGAACCUUUGACUCCAGUGAAUCUAUUCAAGUCACGUUUCCUUUGUAAAUUCGUUUGAGUUAUUUUGGUUCGACUCGAAAAAUGUGUUAUUGGAGGACGAAAUUAGUAGUAAUCUAGAAUUAUUCACGACUUUUGAG